CCUACGGGUGGCAGCAGUGAGGAAUAUUGGUCAAUGGGCUUACGCCUGAACCAGCCAAGUCGCGUGAGGGAAGACUGCCCUACGGGUUGUAAACCUCUUUUGCCAGGGAGCAAUGGGCGCCACGUGUAGCGUCACCGAGAGUACCCGAAGAAAAAGCAUCGGCUAACUCCGUGCCAGCAGCCGCGGUAAUACGGAGGAUGCGAGCGUUAUCCGGAUUUAUUGGGUUUAAAGGGUGCGUAGGCGGAAUGCCAAGUCAGCGGUAAAAUCGCGGGGCUCAACCUCGCUCCGCCGUUGAAACUGGCGUUCUUGAGUGGGCGAGAAGUAUGCGGAAUGCGUGGUGUAGCGGUGAAAUGCAUAGAUAUCACGCAGAACUCCGAUUGCGAAGGCAGCAUGCCGGCGCCCGACUGACGCUGAAGCACGAAAGCGUGGGUAUCGAACAGGAUUAGAUACCCGAGUAGUC
This 460-nucleotide ribosomal RNA is filed under the name uncultured bacterium. RNAcentral's name for it is "partial 16S ribosomal RNA". It matches the Rfam family "Bacterial small subunit ribosomal RNA", at positions 338 to 795 of the family's 1533-position model. The record is from RNAcentral.